UGAGGAAGUAAAAGUCGUAACAAGGUCUCCGUUGGUGAACCAGCGGAGGGAUCAUUACUGAGUUUACGCUCUACAACCCUUUGUGAACAUACCUAUAACUGUUGCUUCGGCGGGUAGGGUCUCCGUGACCCUCCCGGCCUCCCGCCCCCGGGCGGGUCGGCGCCCGCCGGAGGAUAACCAAACUCUGAUUUAACGACGUUUCUUCUGAGUGGUACAAGCAAAUAAUCAAAACUUUUAACAACGGAUCUCUUGGUUCUGGCAUCGAUGAAGAACGCGCGAAAGGCGAUAAGUAAUGUGAAUUGCAGAAUUCAGUGAAUCAUCGAAUCUUUGAACGCACAUUUCGCCCGCCAGCAUUCUGGCGGGCAUGCCUGUUCGAGCGUCAUUUCAACCCUCAAGCUCUGCUUGGUGUUGGGGCCCUACAGCUGAUGUAGGCCCUCAAAGGUAGUGGCGGACCCUCCCGGAGCCUCCUUUGCGUAGUAACUUUACGUCUCGCACUGGGAUCCGGAGGGACUCUUGCCGUAAAACCCCCAAUUUUCCAAAGGUUGACCUCGGAUCAGGUAGGAAUACCCGCUGAACUUAAGCAUAUCAA
This 589-nucleotide ribosomal RNA is filed under the name uncultured Colletotrichum. Its description in RNAcentral is "eukaryotic LSU rRNA". The stretch from base 230 to 382 matches the Rfam family "5.8S ribosomal RNA". Lineage: Eukaryota; Fungi; Ascomycota; Sordariomycetes; Glomerellales; Plectosphaerellaceae. The record is from RNAcentral.